UUUUGGUGAGCCUAAGGCUCUAGGAUUCCUAAUACCAAGAAUGAGACUUUUCCUGAAAGUUUGCAUCCCUUCUGGAAUUGGCUGAGAUCACUCCAAGUUUCUUACUGAGACAUCCUUAAAGGCCAAAUAGGAAGCCAGAGGGCAAGAGGAGGCCUGUUGAUGUGAUGCAUAUAGGAAUGAUUCAGAUUAGAGAACUGCUGAGCCUUGGGGUGCUGGACGGUGGAAUUCAGCUUCUAUGACUCUACAAUGACUUGAGCACCUCAUUCUCUCUCUUCGUUACAUCAGCAGAGCCUAGCGACCACCAACGAAUUCUGCAACCUUUGUAGUUACUAUUUUCAAGUGCCAGAAGUAUUAAACAGAACCAAUGAGAUUCUAAAACUACUUCACAUUGUGGAAUAUAAUGCCGUGUGGAACACACCAUGAGAAUGAAGUAAACAGCCCAUUUCUGUGAAUGGCUAACUUUCCUUGUUUUAUAUGAUCCUUGUCACCCUGUUUCUAGUCAUUAGCAUGGGCCAGUGAACAUGAACUAUGUGCUGAUCAACUUUUUU
Molecule: long non-coding RNA, 548 nt
Filed under: Equus asinus (donkey)
Lineage: Eukaryota; Metazoa; Chordata; Mammalia; Perissodactyla; Equidae
Description: lncRNA (ENSEASG00005023964.1)
Source: RNAcentral